Long non-coding RNA from Oryzias latipes (Japanese medaka), 2026 nucleotides. RefSeq lists it as uncharacterized. Lineage: Eukaryota; Metazoa; Chordata; Actinopteri; Beloniformes; Adrianichthyidae. The record is from RefSeq and is a predicted model, not a curated record.
UGGCAUCCAGGAUCUCCACCUCAAAGAAAACAACGGCCUUUUUAGUUUUUUUAGCCUGUUUGCGUUUCGCUGGUGCUGCCCCCGACACCGGAGCCCCCAGCCCAGCAUUGCUGGACUUCUUCCCACUGGCCUCGAGAGCUAAGGCAUCCAUGUCCCCUACUUUUCCUCCAGCUACUGGCUGAACUCCUCCCUACGCCCAGUCCUUCAUUCCCUUAUUCUGAAGGUUGACUUCCGAUCCACAGAGAAAAGGGGGGAGACCUCAGCUGUGGACAUAAAUCUCUCGUUGGCAUUCCUCCUGCCCCUCCCUCUUACGUCACCCCCCCCACCCCACCCCACCACCCAUUCUUUCACAUCUGGUGUGUAAGAUUUACAUUAAAGUGUGCCAACAGUUAAGCCCUAAAAUAAAAAUAAAUGAAUAAAAUAAAAUAUAUAUAUUUUAAAAAGUGUGCCUCCAGUUAUACCCCAACCCUAAAAGGAAAUAAAUAAGAAAUAAAUAAAAUAAAACAAAUAAAUAAAUAAAUUGAUAAAUGAAAAAAUAUUUUUAAAAUUAUAAUAAUAAAAAAUAAUUAAAAUAAACAAAAAAAUAAUAAAUAAACAUUAAAAAGUGUGCCAACAGUUGCAUCCCUGAAGGACAGCAGUGGUCUGCACAUGCUCAUUAGCUGUGAAGCGUGCAGCUUCCUGUUGCAGAUUUGAAAUGCGACGCGUCCCCAAAGCAGACAUAUUUACGUCCCGGAGAUGUCUUCACGUCCAGCAGAGUGAAAGGACGAGGGGGAGAAAACAUGGCAAACAUUGCCCCCCAUUACUAAUCUGAACCUGUCUUUUGCUCCUCAGCUAAAUAUAAACGCCCCCCCCGUCCCCACAGACAGCAGACAGAUGUAUGCAGUGAUAUCAUAGGUGUAUUAUUAAAGACACCCAACCAAAGACAAUCGACGUUUCUCAGUGAACUCCACAGCUUGGGUCUCAGUCACAAAGACUGUAUGCUUUUCCAUUAUGCUACACAUUAAAACCGAAUCAAUGGGGCCUUUACGUUUGAUGCAGAUUCACCUUUUUCCAGCAAACACAGACAGACAAUAACAGCUGACGUUCUCAGAGAUUAAAGAAAGCUAUGACUUCUGGGAAACGGUCAAUCCAUCUUAUAUUCCGCUUCCUACUCACUCAUCCAAACAGAGAAAAGGACACCUGACACCCCAGUGGAGUCUUCAGAGACCUGAACCCUUUCCAGUCUCUGGGUGUCACAUAGCUGCUAUGCUGUCCCGCCCCCCCCCCGCGUUCCCGUCUAUAUAAAAGCUGGGAACACUGAAGUCCGGUUCAGCCGCUGAGGAAUAACCGCAAAAUCUGCAUUUCCAGCUUUGCUUUUAUGAAACCUGUUCAUAGAAGAAAAAGAAAUAGGUGUGUCUCAGGAGUCCAGAGCACAGCGGCGCGUGGCAGCAUCACGGCUCCGGUUGAGCCAGUCUGUCAGACUGACUGCUUCAGAUCCCGUCCGGUGGGUUUAAGGCUCUUAUGAAACGGAAUCACGGUAAUCUCCUCAACACCGACGCCGUUUCAACGGUCUGUGGCUGUUUGAGCACGACGCCAAAGACGACAAUCAUGUCAAUGGAGAGGUGCGCACAUGACACGUGCACGGACCUACACCUGUUCACCUGGGACAUUGUUGAGCAAGAACCCGAUAAGAAUGCCGGCAGCAGUCAGCGGGCAGAGAUGACUGACAGGCUGACAUCCACGGACAUAUAUCUCUAUACAUGCUGUCUAUGCUGACAUCAACCCCCCCAGAGCCGGGGGGGCAGGGUCUGCGACCAAAGCUAGCGCGGAACUGACCCCAGAAACGAGCCAGAGGCGGCGUUUGCUUAGCGAACCGCGCGGACGUUCGGAUAAAACCGGAUUCCUGCUCGGAGAACACAGAAAAGAGGCUUUACGUCAUUACGAAUAGGUUAUAUGACGGGACUUUAGUGGAAUCUCACCUCGUAGUGCUUCAUCUUGGCGGUUAGCAAAGCUCUCUGAUCCACCGGGAUGAGUGACGCUCAAACCU